AACGUACGCUGGCGGCACGCCUAACACAUGCAAGUCGAACGAAGUAGCAAUACUUAGUGGCAGACGGGUGAGUAACAUGUAGGUAUCUGCCCUUUGGCCUGGAAUAACACGAGGAAACUUGUGCUAAUACCGGAUAAGUCUUUACGGAGAAAGCUUUAUGCACCAUUGGAUGAGCCUGCACUUGAUUAGUUUGUUGGUGGGGUAAUGGCCUACCAAGACUGUGAUCAAUAGCUGAUUUGAGAGGAUGAUCAGCCACAUUGGGACUGAGACACGGCCCAAACUCCUACGGGAGGCAGCAGUGGGGAAUCUUGCACAAUGGAGGAAACUCUGAUGCAGCGAUGCCGCGUGAGUGAAGAAGGCCCUUGGGUUGUAAAGCUCUUUCGUCGGGGAAGAAAAUGACUGUACCCGAAUAAGAAGGUCCGGCUAACUUCGUGCCAGCAGCCGCGGUAAUACGAAGGGACCUAGCGUAGUUCGGAAUUACUGGGCUUAAAGAGUUCGUAGGUGGUUGAAAAAGUUAGUGGUGAAAUCCCAGAGCUUAACUCUGGAACUGCCAUUAAAACUUUUCAGCUAGAGUAUGAUAGAGGAAAGCAGAAUUUCUAGUGUAGAGGUGAAAUUCGUAGAUAUUAGAAAGAAUACCAAUUGCGAAGGCAGCUUUCUGGAUCAUUACUGACACUGAGGAACGAAAGCAUGGGUAGCGAAGAGGAUUAGAUACCCUCGUAGUCCAUGCCGUAAACGAUGUGUGUUAGACGUUGGAAAUUUAUUUUCAGUGUCGCAGGGAAACCGAUAAACACACCGCCUGGGGAGUACGACCGCAAGGUUAAAACUCAAAUGAAUUGACGGGGACCCGCACAAGUAGUGGAGCAUGUGGUUUAAUUCGAAGAUACGCGCAGAACCUUACCAACACUUGACAUGUUCGUCGCGACUCUAAGAGAUUAGACUUUUCGGUUCGGCCGGACGAAACACAGGUGCUGCAUGGCUGUCGUCAGCUCGUGUCGUGAGAUGUUGGGUUAAGUCCCGCAACGAGCGCAACCCUCACUUUUAGUUGCCAUCAUUAAGUUGGGCACUCUGAAAGAACUGCCAGUGAUAAGCUGGAGGAAGGUGGGGAUGACGUCAAGUCCUCAUGGCCCUUACGUGUUGGGCUACACACGUGCUACAAUGGUAUCUACAACAGGAAGCAAGACUGCGAAGUUAAGCAAAUCCCUAAAAGAUACCUCAGUUCGGAUUGCACUCUGCAACUCGAGUGCAUGAAGCUGGAAUUACUAGUAAUCGUGGAUCAGCGUGCCACGGUGAAUGCGUUCCCGGGUCU
Molecule: ribosomal RNA, 1306 nt
Filed under: uncultured bacterium
Lineage: Bacteria
Description: bacterial SSU rRNA
Rfam family: Bacterial small subunit ribosomal RNA
Source: RNAcentral